This 490-nucleotide ribosomal RNA is filed under the name uncultured bacterium. RNAcentral describes it as "partial 16S ribosomal RNA". It matches the Rfam family "Bacterial small subunit ribosomal RNA", at positions 30 to 507 of the family's 1533-position model. The record is from RNAcentral.
AUUGAACGCUGGCGGCAGGCCUAACACAUGCAAGUCGAACGGUAACAGGAAGCAGCUUGCUGCUUUGCUGACGAGUGGCGGACGGGUGAGUAAUGUCUGGGAAACUGCCUGAUGGAGGGGGAUAACUACUGGAAACGGUAGCUAAUACCGCAUAACGUCGCAAGACCAAAGAGGGGGACCUUCGGGCCUCUUGCCUUCGGAUGUGCCCAGAUGGGAUUAGCUAGUAGGUGGGGUAACGGCUCACCUAGGCGACGAUCCCUAGCUGGUCUGAGAGGUUGACCAGCCACACUGGAACUGAGACACGGUCCAGACUCCUACGGGAGGCAGCAGUGGGGAAUAUUGCACAAUGGGCGCAAGCCUGAUGCAGCCAUGCCGCGUGUAUGAAGAAGGCCUUCGGGUUGUAAAGUACUUUCAGCGGGGAGGAAGGGAGUAAAGUUAAUACCUUUGCUCAUUGACGUUACCCGCAGAAGAAGCACCGGCUAACUCCGUG